AUUGCUGUAAAGUGCAAUGCAUUCUGGGGUCACGUGACGGAUUAACUCAAUGUACAGAAUAUUGCUGUAAAUUUCAAAUCUACAAUGGCGGGAUGAUCUUCAACAGUCGAGAUUGGGGUAGUGCGCAAAAUGAAUGAUUCACACCUGUGGACACACUUUGCCAUGCAGGCCACUGGAUGCUGACUACUGAAGGUUAGGUUCUGUGUGACGGUUCUCAGCACAGCUUCAUGUCUGGCCUUCCCACUCUGUUCAUAGCAUGUUACAUAUUCAGGCUUGAGUACCAGGAUGGGUCAGCGUGUCUCUUGGAGUCCACUGAAAGAGAGUGGAACAAGCAGCGUCAUCUAAAAUGCCAGGAUACAGAAGAAACAGGUUGCAGUGAACCCACAUGUCGCCGCUCUUCUAAACACAAUGAUGAAUAUUCAGUGUAAUCGAUGAAAAUUCCAGCUACUUGUUGUGCUCUGAUGGAUCAAGAUGUGGACCGUUUUACAGACUCACUUGGGCCUUGUUUUGCAAUGUUGUUUCAUGAUGGUAAUGUUGGUUAACGUGUUGUUUAAACAUGAAUGUUUAAAGAGCCAUGUUGGAUACUAUGAAGUUCUUACUGAAUAAAAUUAUUUCAUGUACAACAACGUACACAAUUUGUCUGUAAUGUAUUUUUGUAUCAAUUAAAAAAAAAUAAACACUGUAUAUCCAGUAUGCAAAACAUACUGGAUAUACAGUGAUUUAUGUAUUUCUUCUAAAUAAAGUAAAUUAAAAUCAAGCAAUUUGCUGUAAAAAAUACAGCAUUAUACUGUUGCUAUUCAAAAUUACAGUUUUUCCUGUAUUCUGCAAUUACAGUAAAUGGCUGUAAAUUAAAUUACAGUACUGUGGCUGUACAAUUUACAGUAACUGGCUGGCAACCCUGCUGCCAGUAGUUUACUGUAAAUUUUACAGGAUUU
This is a long non-coding RNA of Triplophysa dalaica, 935 nucleotides long. RefSeq lists it as uncharacterized. Lineage: Eukaryota; Metazoa; Chordata; Actinopteri; Cypriniformes; Nemacheilidae. The record is from RefSeq and is a predicted model, not a curated record. The transcript has 4 exons.